CCAACAAAUGCUCCUUUACUGCAGCUGUAUGUAUAACAAGCAGCAUAACCGCCAUCGCCAGCUCUCAGAUCAGCUUCAACUGCCCGUCCAACAACACCAACUGCUGCACUUAAACCAGCACCCAAUGAAACAUGUGCAUUGCCGCAAAAUGUCUUGACAGCAUCAUUUGUUCUCAACACAAUUAUGAAAUCUGUCAAUUCACCUCCAGCCUGAGCUCCCCAACCCAUGCCGAAUGAAGAUAUGGCAGAAGGUGGAGACCAUGAACCAUCUUCUCUGCAAGCAAUUACAAGCCCAGUUCCAACAUUAUAAGUUACCAUCAUCCCAACUUUGACAACUGUGAUUAUUGCAAGGCCUUUUGCAUGUCGUAGAAUGGCAUCUGGAAUUGAUUU
This 389-nucleotide unclassified non-coding RNA is filed under the name Hevea brasiliensis (rubber tree). Lineage: Eukaryota; Viridiplantae; Streptophyta; Magnoliopsida; Malpighiales; Euphorbiaceae. The record is from RNAcentral.